AAGAACUCGAAGCUCCAACCAAGGUCUGCUUCUCUCUCCUCAAAUCGACUUCUCCAUUCUCUCUCCUCAACAGGUUUCUCUCUUUCCUGUUCGCUUUUUUUCAUGGUUAAUUUGAUGCUUAAACACAGAUGUAGAUGAAGAUGCGUGGGGUUUGAAAAUCUCGCCGAUACUGGGUUUCGAAAUCCCUCUCUUCUCCUGUUUGCGGUUCAACGCGGUGGUGGUUGACUGGUGGCGGCGGUGGGUCCGUACGUGAAUGAGUUAUAUAGAGCGUAAAAUUGCUGGAUGGUGUUGUGAUCAAGAAUUAUGUUAAAACAGUCAUUGAGUUUAGAUCAAAGAACUGGUGCAGUGAAAGAAUGCAGAAUUUCUCUCACUAUGUUGCCUCCAAGGACAGAAUUUUGGGGCUGGUUUUUCCUCAUAUUCGGAUGUGUUUCCUUCUCGGGGUUCUUCUAUGCUGCCAUUAUAUCGAAGUUUCUUCCACCAUCGGAUAAUGCCCUCAUAUCUGCCGUACAAAACGACAGUAGUACACACAAGUGAGGAGGUGCUAGGAUGAAAGGGUAGACAGAUGAAACAUAUGAAGUCAACAGUUCCUGAGAAUGAAGUGCAGAAGUAACGGAUUUGUAAGGCAGUAGCUUUCCUCCUUCCCUCUGCUGAUUCUAGAUGUUAUGACUCUUAUGAUUUGGUCUAAAUCCCACAUUUCUGAACAUCUCUCUCACCAUUUACUAUUAGUAGUCUGAUAAUUUGUUCCAUUAUUGUUGGUUGUAUUGGAGGGUGGUAGAUGUUUGUCCAGUCCCCUUGAAGAAAUCAAUAGGUUAUCAGGCCUGUGUUGUUUGUUCUUUUAUGUAUCUGGUGGUUUGAUGCUUAACUGGGGAAGUUACUGUCACUGAGAGGAAUGAUAUCAGCAUGAGGUUACAAGGAGUGAAAAAACAUGGACACUGGUGAAGUCAACACAGACAAUUGUGAAAACACAGUGGCUGGUGAUGUGCUGAUGAAAUGAAUGAAUAAUAGCGUAGAGGAUUAUGAAUGUUGCUUUCUGUAGGAACUAGGAAGAUCAAAGUUUAGAACGGGCUUUCUACUUCCCAUUCUGCGUAACUGUACGCGAGUUAAUUGGUCGAUGUGGAACCAAGAAUUAUCACCCGACGAGUUAGUUGUAUGUGAUCCUUGAGGAUAUGAGAUUUGUGCUAAUUUUUUUUCAUAUAGGGAUAUUAUCUCUAGAUUCGACGGUAUAUCUAUUUGGAGUUUUUGUUAGGUCUUAUAUUUGUCAUGAUGCUAUUUUCCUGCAUCUUUGUUGCUACCUAACUGAUUCACCAAGGUUGUUUAAAAGAUGAAUUAUCAGACUAUUGUAAACUGAGUUUUGCAAAGGUGAGAACAAAGAGUAGCCCAAAUGGUAAGGUGCUCCCUUUACGGGAUGUGGUCUUGGGUUCAAUUCUCGUCAUAGGGUUCCAUUCGCUACCUCCUUAGAUUAGGCUAGUGUCAGCUUCUUCCAUAUACCAUGCCAUCUUGAAAAAAGGGAGUUUUGCACAGGUUAGUUGAAGCUUGUCAAAGUCUGUCUUCUGGCAAAUUUUGGCUUUGCUUGGUGAUUUCUGAUGUAAAUUACUUUCAGCUUCUUUCUUUUCUUUUAU
Molecule: long non-coding RNA, 1619 nt
Organism: Rhododendron vialii
Lineage: Eukaryota; Viridiplantae; Streptophyta; Magnoliopsida; Ericales; Ericaceae
Exons: 4
Source: RefSeq, a predicted model, not a curated record